AUGGCUCAGAUUGAACGCUGGCGGAAUGCUUUACACAUGCAAGUCGAACGGUAGAGGGGGCAACCCCUUGAGAGUGGCGAACGGGUGAGUAAUAUAUCGGAACGUGCCCAGUCGUGGGGGAUAACGUAGCGAAAGUUACGCUAAUACCGCAUACGAUCUACGGAUGAAAGCGGGGGAUCGCAAGACCUCGCGCGAUUGGAGCGGCCGAUAUCAGAUUAGGUAGUUGGUGAGGUAAAGGCUCACCAAGCCGACGAUCUGUAGCUGGUCUGAGAGGACGACCAGCCACACUGGGACUGAGACACGGCCCAGACUCCUACGGGAGGCAGCAGUGGGGAAUUUUGGACAAUGGGCGCAAGCCUGAUCCAGCAAUGCCGCGUGCAGGAUGAAGGCCUUCGGGUUGUAAACUGCUUUUGUACGGAACGAAACGGUGAGCUCUAAUACAGUUUGCUAAUGACGGUACCGUAAGAAUAAGCACCGGCUAACUACGUG
RNAcentral lists this ribosomal RNA (489 nucleotides) under uncultured bacterium. RNAcentral describes it as "bacterial SSU rRNA". It matches the Rfam family "Bacterial small subunit ribosomal RNA", at positions 19 to 507 of the family's 1533-position model. The record is from RNAcentral.